Molecule: non-coding RNA, 20 nt
Filed under: Arabidopsis thaliana (thale cress)
Lineage: Eukaryota; Viridiplantae; Streptophyta; Magnoliopsida; Brassicales; Brassicaceae
Source: RNAcentral
UUAGAAUAUGUUUUUCCUAA